GACGAACGCUGGCGGCGUGCUUAACACAUGCAAGUCGAACGGAAAGGCCCUGAUCUUGCUCGGUGCUCGAGUGGCGAACGCGUGUGUAACACGCGAGUACCAUGCCCCUGACUUUGGGAUAUCUUCAGGAAACUCGGGCUAUUAUCGGAUAGGCGCUGCUGCUGCACGGUGGGGGCUGGAAAGUUUCGGCGGUUGGGGAUGGACUCGCGGCUUAUCAGCUUGUUGGUGGGGUAGUGGCUUACCAAGGCUUUGACGGGUAGCCGGCCUGAGAGGGUGACCGGCCACAUUGGGACUGAGAUACGGCCCAGACUCCUACGGGAGGCAGCAGUGGGGAAUAUUGCACAAUGGGCGGAAGCCUGAUGCAGCAACGCCGCGUGCGGGAUGACGGCCUUCGGGUUGUAAACCGCUUUCGCCAGUGACGAAGCGAGAGUGACGGUAAUGGGUAAAGAAGCACCGGCUAACUACGUG
This 468-nucleotide ribosomal RNA is filed under the name uncultured bacterium. RNAcentral describes it as "partial 16S ribosomal RNA". It matches the Rfam family "Bacterial small subunit ribosomal RNA", at positions 28 to 507 of the family's 1533-position model. The record is from RNAcentral.